GCGCCCGUACCUCAGUUGGCAGAGAGGUGGGACGGUACCCCACGAUCCCGGGUUCAAGUCCCGGUGGUCGCU
This is a non-coding RNA of Phthorimaea operculella (potato tuberworm), 72 nucleotides long. The record is from the annotation of a GenBank genome assembly. Lineage: Eukaryota; Metazoa; Arthropoda; Insecta; Lepidoptera; Gelechiidae.